CGGACAGUAGCCGAGUAGCAAGGCGCGCGCUUCGGGAGCGUGAGAUCGCAGGUGCAAUCCCUGUCUGUCCGA
RNAcentral lists this transfer RNA (72 nucleotides) under Gemmatimonadaceae bacterium. Its description in RNAcentral is "tRNA-Pro". It matches the Rfam family "tRNA". From Rfam's summary of the family: Transfer RNA (tRNA) molecules are approximately 80 nucleotides in length. Their secondary structure includes four short double-helical elements and three loops (D, anti-codon, and T loops). Lineage: Bacteria; Pseudomonadati; Gemmatimonadota; Gemmatimonadia; Gemmatimonadales; Gemmatimonadaceae. The record is from RNAcentral.